CCUACGGGUGGCAGCAGUCGGGAAUAUUGCGCAAUGGAGGAAACUCUGACGCAGCGACGCCGCGUGCAGGAAGAAGGUUUUCGGAUUGUAAACUGCUUUAGACAGGGAAGAAGAAAUGACGGUACCUGAGUAAGAAGCACCGGCUAAAUACGUGCCAGCAGCCGCGGUAAUACGUAUGGUGCAAGCGUUAUCCGGAUUUACUGGGUGUAAAGGGAGCGCAGGCGGCACGGCAAGCCUGAUGUGAAAGCCCGCGGGCCAACCGCGGGACUGCAUUGGGAACUACCGGGCUGGAGUGCCGGAGAGGUAGGCGGAAUGCCUAGUGUAGCGGUGAAAUGCGUAGAUAUUAGGAGGAACACCAGUGGCGAAGGCGGCCUACUGGACGGUGACUGACGCUGAGGCUCGAAAGCGUGGGGAGCAAACAGGAUUAGAUACCCUAGUAGUC
Molecule: ribosomal RNA, 442 nt
Filed under: uncultured bacterium
Lineage: Bacteria
Description: partial 16S ribosomal RNA
Rfam family: Bacterial small subunit ribosomal RNA
Source: RNAcentral